Molecule: long non-coding RNA, 257 nt
Filed under: Carica papaya (papaya)
Lineage: Eukaryota; Viridiplantae; Streptophyta; Magnoliopsida; Brassicales; Caricaceae
Description: long non-coding RNA (CPAP_LNC005664)
Source: RNAcentral
UAUUCUGAUUGGUGAAACAGAACACUAAUGGUAACUUAAGAAAUAAGUCUUGUCUGCCCCUACCACCUAGGAAGUUUUCAUGGAUGCAUCAUUUGAUAACUUUUUCUCAGCCUAUGUCCGAGAGGAAAAAAAAGGAGAAAUUUAGGACUUCAGCCAAGAAAAUAUAACGGUUUCCCAAUAUGCAGCCCGAUUUGUCUAACUGUUUAGGUUUGCUCCUCUAAUGGUCACCUCCAAAAGUCGUAAAGUUAGACAGUUUC